GCGCCGUCCUAGCUUUAAAAGGCGACGUCGUAGGAAGCUGCUGCACAUCGUUUUCGGAAAAAAAAAAGCCGUUACAGCAAUGACUCUCCUGUUAAAGUUCCUGUGUAUGUUGCUCGCAAUGAUGAUCAUGCACCGAAUGGCUAUCAGUAUGCCAAAUCAUCGAGAAGAACCGAACCGUUGCGGCCAAACUUGCCACGCUAACCAAAGCGAUUGUCCAAGCGGCUGCGCCUGCAUUCUGACGAACUUCUCUACAACUGGUACUUGUGUUGAUACAAGCUUUCCUGAAGGGGAAUUCCCAGGUACUCCACCAAGUUUUACAAGCCACUCCAGUCUUUAAUACCCACCUCGAAUAAAUGGAUCACUCAGAUACGC
This 372-nucleotide long non-coding RNA is filed under the name Dermacentor andersoni. RNAcentral describes it as "uncharacterized LOC126527398". Lineage: Eukaryota; Metazoa; Arthropoda; Arachnida; Ixodida; Ixodidae. The record is from RNAcentral.